AUUCAAUCCCUGCAAAAAUCCUCUGAGGGGAGCACUUAAGAGCCUCUCAUUUUCCAAAAGAAGAAACUGAAGGAUAGAUCUCUAGAACCCUGAAGUUCCUGUGUUCUCAUUAACAAUUCUAUGACCUACUUUAGUUUUGAAUGUAAUUCCACAGCAGAUGGCUGGAACGUGGUCUGGGGGAUUAAGCGAGCCUUUUCAGAUUAAUGCCAAGAAAAUAUAUGCAGAAGAGACACCCAUGUCAUUGAACAAGAGGUUCUAAUAUUACAUAACAGGGUAGUGGUAUGUAGCUGUAGUGGUAUGUGCUCUCUCUCAAUGCUGAGCUGCAGCUCCCAGUCAGCCACUGGAUCAUGAGGGUAAAAUACGGAUACUUGACAUCUUCUUAAAGAACAUCAUGCCUGCUAAGCCAUCCAGUUUGGAUGCCCCAGUGCCUUCCACCAGCCAUUCUCAAGCCUCAUUAGAAGAGAGAGAUUGAUGACCCUGUAGCUGCAGCAUCCCAUCAUCCUGCAUUUUAGUUCAAUGCUUCAAACGUUCUUCAGGCCCAGUGUGCUUUCAGCUGUGUAUGUUAAUGACAUUUGAAGUUCUACAAUGAACCCAUCGGAGAUGCAAAGAAAAGCACCUCCGCGGAGACGGAGACACCGCAAUCGAGCACCGUCGAGUCACAAGAUGAACAAAAUGAUGAUGUCAGAAGAACAGAUGAAGUUGCCAUCCACCAAUAAGGCAGAGCCGCUGACUUGGGCACAACUAAACAAGCUGACGCAGUUAGCUACAAAAUGUCUAGAGAACACAAAGAUGACACAAACUCCAGAGAGUAUGCUGCUUGCAGCAUUGAUGAUUGUAUCAACGGUGCACCGUAUUCUGCUGGUGAGAGCAAGAGAAGGCAUGCGGAUCCCUGUGUCCAUGGACCAACCGUGGGAGGCCUCGCCAUCCGUCCAUGUUUUGACUGAAGUAUUAAAAGGCAUUUUAAAUAGAUCCAAAAGAUUCAUUUUUACUUUAAUUACAGUGAUUAUGGGAUUAAUUGCAGUCACAGCUAUGGCUGCUAUAGCAGGAGUUGCGUUGCACUCUUCUGUUCAGUCAGUAAACUUUGUUAAUGAUUGGCAAAAGAAUUCUACGAGAUUGUGGAAUUCGCAAUCUGGUAUUGAUCAAAAAAUGGCAAAUCAAAUUAAUGUUCUUAGACAAGCUGUCAUUUGGAUGGGAGACAGGCUCAUGAGCUUAGAACAUCGUUUCCAGUUACAGUGUGACUGGAAUACGUCAGAUUUUUGUAUUACACCCCAAGUUUAUAAUGAGUCUGAGCAUCACUGGGACAUGGUUAGACGCCAUCUACAGGGAAGAGAAGAUAAUCUCACUUUAGACAUUUCCAAAUUAAAAGAACAAAUUUUUGAAACAUCAAAAGCCCAUUUAAAUUUGGUGCCAGGAACUGAGGCAAUCGCAGGAGUUGCUGAUGGCCUCGCAAAUCUUAACCCUGUCACUUGGGUUAAGACCAUCGGAAGUACUAUGAUUAUAAAUUUCAUAUUAAUCCUUGUGUGCCUGUUUUGUCUGUUGUUAGUCUGCAGGUGUACCCAACAGCUCUGAAGAGACAGUGACCAUUGAGAACGGGCCAUGAUGACGAUGGCUGUUUUGUCGAAAAGAAAAGGGGGAAAUGUGGGGAAAAGAAAGACAGAUCAGAUUGUUACUGUGUCUGCAUAGAAAGAAGUAGACACAGGAGACUCCAUUUUGUUCUGUAUUAAGAAAAAUUCUUCUGCUUUGAGAUGCUGUUAAUCUGUAACCUUACCCCAACCCCGUGCUCUCUGAAACACAUGCUGUGUCAACUCAGGGUUAAAUGGAUUAAGGGCUGUGCAGGAUGUGCUUUGUUAAACAGAUGCUUGAAGGCAGCAUGCUCCUUUAGAGUCAUCACCACGCCCUAAUCUCAACUACCCAGGGACACAAACACUGCGGAAGGCCACAGGGACCUCUGCCUAGGAAAGCCAGGUAUUGUCCAAGGUUUCUCCCCAUGUGAUAGUCUGAAAUAUGGCCUCGUGGGAAGGGAAAGACCUGACCGUCCCCCAGCCCAACACCCAUAAAGGGUCUGUGCUGAGGAGGAUUAGUAUAAGAGGAAGGCAUGCCUCUUUGCAGUUGAGACAAGAGGAAGGCAUCUGUCUCCUGCCCAUCCCUGGGCAAUGGAAUGUCUCGGUAUAAAACCCGAUUGUAUGUUCCAUCUACUGAGAUAGGGGAAAACCGCCUUAGGGCUGGAGGUGGGACAUGUGGGCAACAAUACUGCUCUGUAAGGCAUUGAGAUGUUUAUGUGUAUGCAUAUCUAAAGCACAGCACUUAAUUCUUUACCUUGUCUAUGAUGCAGAGACCUUUGUUCACGUGUUUAUCUGCUGACCUUCUCUCCAUUAUUAUCCUAUGACCCUGCCACAUCCCCCUCUCUGAGAAACACCCAAGAAUGAUCAAUAAAUACUAAGGGAACUCAGAGGCUGGUGGGAUCCUCCGUAUGCUGAAUGCUGGUCCCCUGGGCCCCCUUAUUUCUUUCUCUAU
RNAcentral lists this long non-coding RNA (2514 nucleotides) under Homo sapiens (human). RNAcentral describes it as "uncharacterized LOC105376387, transcript variant 1 (LOC105376387)". The record is from RNAcentral. Lineage: Eukaryota; Metazoa; Chordata; Mammalia; Primates; Hominidae.